Molecule: ribosomal RNA, 253 nt
Filed under: uncultured bacterium
Lineage: Bacteria
Description: partial 16S ribosomal RNA
Rfam family: Bacterial small subunit ribosomal RNA
Source: RNAcentral
UACGGAGGGUGCAAGCGUUAUCCGGAUUCACUGGGUUUAAAGGGUGCGUAGGCGGAUAUGUAAGUCAGUGGUGAAAUCUCCAAGCUUAACUUGGAAACUGCCGUUGAUACUAUCUGUCUUGAAUAUUGUGGAGGUGAGCGGAAUAUGUCAUGUAGCGGUGAAAUGCGUAGAUAUGACAUAGAACACCAAUGGCGAAGGCAGCUCACUACACAAUCAUUGACUCUGAGGCACGAAAGCGUGGGGAGCAAACAGG